This is a non-coding RNA of Hyaloscypha finlandica, 101 nucleotides long. NCBI's taxonomy places the organism in Eukaryota, Fungi, Ascomycota, Leotiomycetes, Helotiales, Hyaloscyphaceae. The record is from the annotation of a GenBank genome assembly.
GGACGCUUGGUGUAGUGGUAGCAUUUCUGAUUCCAGCCUUCAGAUUGGGGAAUCUAAAGCGGGAAAUCCAGACGACACCUGUUCAAACCAGGUAGCGUUCA